GUACUUUUCAUCAACAAGCUGGAUACUUCAUGUUUAUAGUAAGGACAAGUACUUCUCAUCAACAAGCUGUGAUUGUUUUACCAGUGCAUUAUAGAAAUCAAUGUUAAUCUGAACAAUUCUCAAUGACAAUGUUCAACAGUUUGAAUAUUUUAGACCAAGCAUGAGGAUAUUGAUAGGUAAUACUUCAAGUGUAUCUCAACACCACUAUCCAGUUUGACAGCUACAUGCAUACUUAUAUACUUACUGUUCCCUGUUACCGUCAUUGUGUUCAAUCAGACUCAAACCAAAAGUCAGGACGAGCUGUCCUCCUGAAGCGAAACU
Molecule: long non-coding RNA, 321 nt
Organism: Haliotis rubra (blacklip abalone)
Lineage: Eukaryota; Metazoa; Mollusca; Gastropoda; Lepetellida; Haliotidae
Exons: 3
Source: RefSeq, a predicted model, not a curated record